RNAcentral lists this ribosomal RNA (504 nucleotides) under uncultured bacterium. RNAcentral describes it as "bacterial SSU rRNA". It matches the Rfam family "Bacterial small subunit ribosomal RNA", at positions 28 to 527 of the family's 1533-position model. The record is from RNAcentral.
GAUUAACGCUGGCGGCAUGCCUAAUACAUGCAAGUCGAACGGAAGCAGCAAUGCUUUAGUGGCGAACGGGUGAGUAACACGUAGGGAACCUACCUAUACGACGAGGAUAACUACUGGAAACGGUAGCUAAAACUGGAUAGGAUCAAUUGAGGCAUCUUGAUUGAUUUAAAGAUCCUUCGGGAUUACGUAGAGAUGGCCCUGCGGCGCAUUAGCUAGUUGGUGAGGUAACGGCCCACCAAGGCGACGAUGCGUAGCUGAGCUGAGAGGCUAAACAGCCACACUGGGACUGAGACACGGCCCAGACUCCUACGGGAGGCAGCAGUAGGGAAUUUUCGGCAAUGGGGGAAACCCGUGACCGAGCAAUGCCGCGUGAACGAUGAAGGUCUUCGGAUUGUAAAGUUCUGUGAUUGGGGAAGAAUGGUAUUCUUAGGGAAUGAGGAGUACAUGACGGUACCCGAUUAGAAAGCCCCGGCUAACUCCGUGCCAGCAGCCGCGGUAAGUACG